UGCCUAAUACAUGCAAGUCGAGCGGACCUCGCAAGAGGUCAGCGGCGGACGGGUGAGUAACACGUGGGUAACCUGCCGUUGGAAUGGGGAUAACGCCUGGAAACGGGUGCUAAUCCCGAAUGGUUUCCUUUGCCGCAUGGCAGAGGAAGGAAAGGCGCUACGGCGCCGUCCAACGAGGGGCCCGCGGCGCAUUAGCUAGUUGGUGGGGUAAUGGCCUACCAAGGCCGCGAUGCGUAGCCGACCUGAGAGGGUGACCGGCCACACUGGGACUGAGACACGGCCCAGACUCCUACGGGAGGCAGCAGUAGGGAAUCUUCCGCAAUGGGCGAAAGCCUGACGGAGCAACGCCGCGUGAGUGAUGACGGUCUUCGGAUUGUAAAGCUCUGUCAAUUGGGACGAGUGACGGCGAGAGGGAAUGUUCGCCGUGAGACGGUACCGAUGGAGGAAGCCCCGGCUAACUACGUGCCAGCAGCCGCGGUAAUACGUAGGGGGCAAGCGUUGUCCGGAAUUACUGGGCGUAAAGCGUGCGCAGGUGGUUUGU
Molecule: ribosomal RNA, 541 nt
Filed under: uncultured Alicyclobacillaceae bacterium
Lineage: Bacteria; Bacillati; Bacillota; Bacilli; Caryophanales; Alicyclobacillaceae
Description: bacterial SSU rRNA
Rfam family: Bacterial small subunit ribosomal RNA
Source: RNAcentral